Molecule: non-coding RNA, 112 nt
Organism: Nicotiana sylvestris (wood tobacco)
Lineage: Eukaryota; Viridiplantae; Streptophyta; Magnoliopsida; Solanales; Solanaceae
Source: Rfam
GUGUUCAUAGAAAGGAGAGAUUGUUGGCAUCUCCCCCGAUAGGGACGGGAACAGCCUUCAGGAUUUAUCUCUUACCAGACACAUCCGGGAUCUUACCAAAUUUAAAGUUUAU